GCGCGGGCUGCGCGAGGCGGGCGCAGGAAAACUGUCCCACUUCGCGCGUUGAAAGGUCGCCAGUGCCUGGCACACGCUGGGUUUCAGGAGAACCAGGAAAUGUAGUUUCCUUGUGCUUGGGAUGAAAUGAAACCAUGUGGUGCGUGAAACAUAGUCUCUACCCUAGUGGGUGCUGUCAUCGCCUGCAGAGGAAGGCAGAAUGAUGGCCUCCAAAGGUGUCCACACGUCCUGAUGCCCGGGAUCCGUGGCCUUCCGUGGCAGAGGGGGAUUGAGGCUGCAGACGGAAUCAGGGUUGCUGGUCAGAGCGCGCCGCGCCACGCGGUGAGAGGGCGAGAGCGCGCCGGU
Microcebus murinus (gray mouse lemur) is the source of this 345-nucleotide non-coding RNA. The record is from RefSeq and is a predicted model, not a curated record. NCBI's taxonomy places the organism in Eukaryota, Metazoa, Chordata, Mammalia, Primates, Cheirogaleidae.